RNAcentral lists this ribosomal RNA (460 nucleotides) under uncultured bacterium. RNAcentral's name for it is "partial 16S ribosomal RNA". It matches the Rfam family "Bacterial small subunit ribosomal RNA", at positions 338 to 795 of the family's 1533-position model. The record is from RNAcentral.
CCUACGGGAGGCAGCAGUGAGGAAUAUUGGUCAAUGGGCGCGAGCCUGAACCAGCCAAGUAGCGUGAAGGAUGACUGCCCUACGGGUUGUAAACUUCUUUUAUAAAGGAAUAAAGUGAGGCACGUGUGCCUUUUUGUAUGUACUUUAUGAAUAAGGAUCGCCUAACUCCGUGCCAUCAGCGGCGGUAAUACGGAGGAUACGAGCGUUAUCCGGAUUUAUUGGGUUUAAAGGGAGCGUAGAUGGGUUGUUAAGUCAGUUGUGAAAGUUUGCGGCUCAACCGUAAAAUUGCAAUUGAUACUGGCAGUCUUGAGUACAGUUGAGGUAGGCAGAAUUCGUGGUGUAGCGGUGAAAUGCUUAGAUAUGACGAAGAACUCCGAUUGCGAAGGCAGCUUACUAAACUGCCACUGACAUUGAUGCUCGAAAGUGUGGGUAUCAAACAGGAUUAGAUACCCUUGUAGUC